CCUACGGGAGACAGCAGUGAGGAAUAUUGGUCAAUGGACGCAAGUCUGAACCAGCCAUGCAGCGUGCAGGAAGACGGCUCUAUGAGUUGUAAACUGCUUUUGUACGGGGGUAAACGCAGAUACGCGUAUCUGUCUGAAAGUAUCGUACGAAUAAGGAUCGGCUAACUCCGUGCCAGCAGCCGCGGUAAUACGGAGGAUUCAAGCGUUAUCCGGAUUUAUUGGGUUUAAAGGGUGCGUAGGCGGUCGGAUAAGUUAGAGGUGAAAUCCCGAGGCUCAACUGUGGAAUUGCAUCUGAUACUGGUAGGCUAGAGAAUAGUAGAGGUAGGCGGAAUGCAUGGUGUAGCGGUGAAAUGCUUAGAGAUCAUACAGAACACCGAUUGCGAAGGCAGCUUACCAAGCUACUACUGACGUUGAGGCACGAAAGCGUGGGGAGCAAACAGGAUUAGAUACCCUUGUAGUC
Molecule: ribosomal RNA, 460 nt
Filed under: uncultured bacterium
Lineage: Bacteria
Description: partial 16S ribosomal RNA
Rfam family: Bacterial small subunit ribosomal RNA
Source: RNAcentral